UUUGAAGAGAGAGUUAAAGAGGACGUGAAACCGAUGAGGUGGAAACGGAUAGAGCCAGCGUAUCUGGCCUGCAUUCAACCGUCUCGUGGACAGCGCUCGUGCGGCUGGCGACCCCAGAUUGGGACAGUACGUGCAGGGCUCGGCUGACUAUGGGUGGUGCAUUUGCAGGCUGUGUGCGCCGAGACGCUUGGCGCAGCAGUGUGAAUUCGGUUUUGAGGCCAGCUUGCUGGUACCCGAACUUGGGGGAAUGCUGUUUGCUCUGAGUGUAAUUGAUGGUCAUGGCUUACCGGCUUAGUUGGGUGUCAGGCUGUUUGCCGGUAGCGGUCACAUGUGACACGUGCUGUGUAGGCGGUUUGGUCUCUGACAAGCCACCAUGUUCAUUCUCGGUGUAAGAGCUGGUCAUCUCUCCGACCCGUCUUGAAACACGGACCAAGGAGUUUAUCGUGUGCGCAAGUCAUUGGGCGUUGAAAACCCAGAGGCGCAAUGAAAGUGAAUGUCUCCGCAAGGAGCUGAUGUGCGAUCCUGGUUUCUUCGGAGGCCAGGCGCAGCAUGGCCCCAUCCUAACUGCUUGCAGUGGGGUGGAGGAAGAGCGUACGCGGUGAGACCCGAAAGAUGGUGAACUAUUCCUGAGCAGGAUGAAGCCAGAGGAAACUCUGGUGGAAGUCCGAAGCGAUUCUGACGUGCAAAUCGAUCGUCUGACUUGGGUAUAGGGGCGAAAGACUAAUCGAACCAUCUAGUAGCUGGUUCCUUUCCGA
Molecule: ribosomal RNA, 755 nt
Filed under: Pratylenchus goodeyi
Lineage: Eukaryota; Metazoa; Nematoda; Chromadorea; Rhabditida; Pratylenchidae
Description: partial large subunit ribosomal RNA
Rfam family: Eukaryotic large subunit ribosomal RNA
Source: RNAcentral